Molecule: long non-coding RNA, 357 nt
Organism: Drosophila kikkawai
Lineage: Eukaryota; Metazoa; Arthropoda; Insecta; Diptera; Drosophilidae
Source: RefSeq, a predicted model, not a curated record
CCGCACGACGACUUGACGCAAGAAGACAAAUUUCAAAAUUGAACGCACAUUCGAAACACGAAAUGGUGUGACCGCUUCAACCAGAGUUAUGACACUACCGCCAUAGGGUUUACACAAGUGCGAGCAAGACGACUAUAUGGCACUUCCAAUGCAAGUCUUAAUCAUGGGGGAAGCCCCUAAUUUUGGGAAUACUGGCCAGUUUUAUUUUAUUUAUCUUUAAAUUGAAUGGCUUCUAAAAAAUACAACUUAAAUUAUAGCAUAUUUUAAUAUUCAUCUAGAAUAUCUCUGGAAAUAACUGUAUCUGUGACUUCUAAGAUUUAUUUUAUAACACAUAUAAAUAAAAAUAAAUUUAUAACA